GCACCUUAUAAAUACCGGCACUGUUGUUCUGUGCGCUCAGUUUAUAUUGAACGGUGCUAUAGAGAACAACUCAUAUAAAACUAACGAAAAAGCUGAUAAAGCGACGAAACACUAAACAUAGAUUUCAAAACAUUCGAGAAACAACAUACAUACAUAUUGCAGAAAGAAAAGAAAAUACAUACAAAUUUUAUAGAGACUUUGAUUUUGGUGUAACAUUUCACUUUUGGGUGGAAACUACAAAGCAAAAAAAUGUUGCGAGGUAGCGUUUUAUUGCUAACACUACUAGCCAUAUUCGGCUAUCUACAGGCGUUGCCAUACUAUGGAGAUUAGAACCUGACGGU
This 341-nucleotide long non-coding RNA is filed under the name Rhagoletis pomonella (apple maggot). RNAcentral's name for it is "uncharacterized LOC118752987, transcript variant X4". Lineage: Eukaryota; Metazoa; Arthropoda; Insecta; Diptera; Tephritidae. The record is from RNAcentral.